This 288-nucleotide ribosomal RNA is filed under the name uncultured bacterium. Its description in RNAcentral is "partial 16S ribosomal RNA". It matches the Rfam family "Bacterial small subunit ribosomal RNA", at positions 338 to 643 of the family's 1533-position model. The record is from RNAcentral.
CCUACGGGGGGCAGCAGUGGGGGAUAUUGCACAAUGGAGGAAACUCUGAUGCAGCGACGCCGCGUGAGGGAAGACGGUCUUCGGAUUGUGAACCUCUGUCUUUGGGGAAGAAAAUGACGGUACCCAAAGAGGAAGCUCCGGCUAACUACGUGCCAGCAGCCGCGGUAAUACGUAGGGAGCGAGCGUUGUCCGGAAUUACUGGGUGUAAAGGGCGUGUAGGCGGGAGAGCAAGUCAGACGUGAAAUUCCAGGGCUCAACCCUGGAACUGCGUUUGAAACUGUUCUUCUU